CUUGAGCUGUCCUCCUGGAAUAAGUGGGAUAGCCUGGAGGAGCAGGAAUUGCUGGAUUGAGUUAAUUACAUAAAAAUUUUGUCCUCUCGGCCUUCAGAAAAUGUUUUGCUCUCUGUGGGUGUGUAAAUAUCCACUGAACUGCCUUUGUGGGGUGAGAGCUGAGAGUCCUCUGAAAUCUGCAGGCUGCUCAUCUCCCUGAAAGCUGCAGCUCAGGGAUGGACAGCAGCUCCACCAUUCUCACACAGGGGAUGGGAUAAUGGAGUUUUUAAAGACAGGAUUCUCCAUGCCAGGCUGUGGACACUGCCAGGCCAUGGGACGGACACCCAGCUCCAAGUGCUGGGCAUGGGAAAUCUCAGGGGUGGGAAACGUGCAGGAGGAAAUUGUGCCUUUUAAACUCUGUCCUCAGGGCACUACUGCUGCCUGGGAUGGGAAAUCCUGGGAAUAAAAACCAUGCAGGAGGAAGUGGUGCCCUGUAAAGGCUGUGCUCAGGACACUGCUGCUGCCUGCCCUUGGAGAGCCCCAAAAUCUCCUUCUCUUCCAGGCAGGCUUGAGGCACAGGCUGGACAAGCUCUGUGUGGCCAUGGAUGUGGCAGUUCAGCCCGAGCUGGGGGUGGAGGAGGAGGCUCCAUGUGAAGAAUCCCCUCUUUUAUCCAGCAGGGUGACCCUGAAUAAAAACCCUGUGACCUGCAAUGAGUUCCUGCACCUCAUCCCCGAGGGCCCACCCGAGGCCAUGGCCCAGCAGCUCCUGGUGAUUUUCAGUGGAUGCUACGUCCGGCUCCUGGUGACGGGCCGGCUCCCUCGGGCCGGGCCAGGGACACACCUGGGCCACAGCAGCAUCCCCUGCCUCUGCCAGUUCAUCCAGACCACCGUGCUCCACACCCACCACAGCUGGGGCAGGUGACCAGAGGGGGCUGGAAAACACCCAAAUAGAGCUGUCCCCACACACACCGGUGUGGAGAAGCUGUGGGGCAGAGAAGGGAGCUGUAAUUCCUUGCCCUGGAUGGAUGAGAGGAAAUAGGACUCCAAUAAAACAUGCAAGAAAGCUGCUGACCUUGGAGAG
This 1060-nucleotide long non-coding RNA is filed under the name Cyanistes caeruleus (blue tit). RNAcentral describes it as "lncRNA (ENSCCEG00000018579.1)". The record is from RNAcentral. Lineage: Eukaryota; Metazoa; Chordata; Aves; Passeriformes; Paridae.